RNAcentral lists this ribosomal RNA (145 nucleotides) under Acinetobacter baumannii. Its description in RNAcentral is "partial 16S ribosomal RNA". It matches the Rfam family "Bacterial small subunit ribosomal RNA", at positions 1 to 143 of the family's 1533-position model. Lineage: Bacteria; Pseudomonadati; Pseudomonadota; Gammaproteobacteria; Moraxellales; Moraxellaceae. The record is from RNAcentral.
UUUAACUGAAGAGUUUGAUCAUGGCUCAGAUUGAACGCUGGCGGCAGGCUUAACACAUGCAAGUCGAGCGGGGGAAGGUAGCUUGCUACCGGACCUAGCGGCGGACGGGUGAGUAAUGCUUAGGAAUCUGCCUAUUAGUGGGGGA